AAGUCGUAACAAGGUUUCCGUAGGUGAACCUGCGGAAGGAUCAUUAAAGAGUUAGGGUCUUCACAGGCCCGACCUCCCAACCCUUUGUCUAUUGAACUCUUGUUGCUUCGGCGGGCCCGUCCUCGCGACCGCCGGAGGGCCGACUUUCGGUCCUCUGGCCCGCGCCCGCCGGUGGCCAAACCUACAAAACUCUUGAAUGAAUCGUGUCUAUGUCUGAGUAUUAUAUUAAAAUAAAAGCAAAACUUUCAACAACGGAUCUCUUGGUUCUG
Molecule: unclassified non-coding RNA, 269 nt
Filed under: air metagenome
Description: partial contains small subunit ribosomal RNA, internal transcribed spacer 1, and 5.8S ribosomal RNA
Rfam family: Eukaryotic small subunit ribosomal RNA (bases 1-46)
Source: RNAcentral